AAGUGAAGGCGAGUUUAGUUUUUGUGGUCUUAGCCUGCUUCUCUAAUGUGGGCGCACUACAUUAGAAAAAAGUGGGAGGGCCCUUUUGACUCUCUGACCAGCACCAUGGUGGUUGGCAAGAACAAGCGCCUUACGAAAGGUGGCAAAAAGGGAGCCAAGAAGAAAGUGGCUGAUCCAUUUUCUAAGAAAGAUUGGUGUGAUGUGAAAGCACCUGCUAUGUCCAAUAUAAGAAAUAUUGGAAAGACACUCGUCACCAGGACCCAAGGAACCAAAAUUGCAUCUGAUGGUCUCAAGCGUCAUGUGUUUUAAGUGAGUCUUGCUGAUUUGCAGAAUGAUGAAGUUGCAUUUAGAAAAUUCAAGCUGAUUACUGAAGAUGUUCAGGACAAAAACUGCCUAACUAACUUCCAUGGCGUGGAUCUUACCUGUGACAAAAUGUAUUCCAUGGUCAAAAAGUGGCAGACAAUGAUUGAAGCUCAUGUUGAUGUCAAGACUACCGAUGGUUACUUGCUUCAUCUGUUCUGUGUUGGUUUUACUAAAAAACGCAACAAUCAGAUACGGAAGACCUCUUAUGCUCAGCACCAACAGGUCCACCAAAUCCGGAAGAAGAUGAUGGAAAUCAUGACCCGAGAGGUGCAGACAAAUGACUUGAAAGAAGUGGUCAAUAAAUUGAUUCCAGACAGCACUGGAAAAGACAUAGAAAAGGCUUGCCAAUCUAUUUAUCCUCUCCAUGGUGUCUUCGUUAGAAAAGUAAAACCGCUGAAGAAGCCCAGGUUUGAAUUGGGAAAGCUCAUGGAGCUUCAUGGUGAAGGCAGGAGUUCUGGAAAAGCCACCGGGGAUGAGACAGGUGCUAAAGUGGAACGAGCUGAUGCAUAUGAACCACCAGUCCAAGAAUCUGUUUAAAGUUCAGACUUCAAAUAGUGUCAAAUAAAAAGUGCUAUUUGUGGAAAAAAAAAAAAAAAGAAAAAAGUGGGAGGGGUAGUCCAGAUAUGACAGAAGGAUAAAGGGUGAAGGAAUCAAGAAUACAAAUGAGAAUGUCUUUAAAAUUGCCAAACACAGAUUCCAGGAUGUACAGGAAGACAAAGGAGACAGGUUAAUUAGGGAGUGGGAUAGGGCUCAGGGACCAAAGCCUCCUAAGGGAUGCGCAAAGGUAGUUUCCACGAAGGGACUCUUGAUUUGGUUGAUUGGAAGAACCAAACAACAAUUAGCCCUAGGCUUCCUCCAAGGAAAUUCCCUAAAGAAAAGUCUUACUAUUCAGAGUGUUAUUAAGUCCCAGGGUCUUCGUUGCCACUAAUAGAUCUUUUGGAGGGCCUGAUAUCAGAUAUUUCCCUAUUAGGAGGAGAUGGCUGUUCAGGGAAGGCCAGAUGUUAACAGAAGAAACAGAAGGAUAUUAAACAUUCCAUUAAGCUG
This is an RNA transcript of Rhinopithecus roxellana (golden snub-nosed monkey), 1407 nucleotides long. It is a transcript of the gene named 40S ribosomal protein S3a-like, with no coding region annotated. NCBI's taxonomy places the organism in Eukaryota, Metazoa, Chordata, Mammalia, Primates, Cercopithecidae. The transcript has a single exon. The record is from RefSeq and is a predicted model, not a curated record.